Molecule: ribosomal RNA, 508 nt
Filed under: uncultured bacterium
Lineage: Bacteria
Description: partial 16S ribosomal RNA
Rfam family: Bacterial small subunit ribosomal RNA
Source: RNAcentral
AGUGAACGCUGGCGGUAGGCCUAACACAUGCAAGUCGAACGGCAGCACAGUAAGAGCUUGCUCUUACGGGUGGCGAGCGGCGGACGGGUGAGGAAUACAUCGGAAUCUACUUUUUCGUGGGGGAUAACGUAGGGAAACUUACGCUAAUACCGCAUACGACCUACGGGUGAAAGCAGGGGAUCUUCGGACCUUGCGCGAUUGAAUGAGCCGAUGUCGGAUUAGCUAGUUGGCGGGGUAAAGGCCCACCAAGGCGACGAUCCGUAGCUGGUCUGAGAGGAGAAUCAGCCACACUGGAACUGAGACCAGGUCCAGACUCCUACGGGAGGCAGCAGUGGGGAAUAUUGGACAAUGGGCGCAAGCUUGAUCCAGCCAUGCCGCGUGGGUGAAAAAGGCCUUCGGGUUGUAAAGCCCUUUUGUUGGGAAAGAAAUCCAGCCGGCUAAUACCUGGUUGGGAUGACGGUACCCAAAGAAUAAGCACCGGCUAACUUCGUGCCAGCAGCCGCCGUAA